RNAcentral lists this unclassified non-coding RNA (335 nucleotides) under uncultured bacterium. RNAcentral describes it as "partial contains 16S ribosomal RNA and 16S-23S ribosomal RNA intergenic spacer region". It matches the Rfam family "Bacterial small subunit ribosomal RNA", at positions 47 to 358 of the family's 1533-position model. The record is from RNAcentral.
UCCCUAGACAUGGAAAAAAAAACGAGAAAGUGGGGGCAACUCCAUGAGUAAAGUGGCUUUAACGGUGAGUAAUAUAUAAAUAACCUGCCUUCAAGAUUGGGACAACCUGCCGAAAGGCGGGCUAAUACCGAAUAAGCCCACGAUCCCGAAAUUCGGGAAUGGGGGAAAAGAUGGUCAAUGCUUGCAAACUAUCACUUGAAGAGGGGUUCAUAUCCUAUUAGCUAGUUGGUAGGGUAAUGGCCUACCAAGGCAAAGAUGGGUAACCGGUCUGAGAGGAUGUACGGUCACACUGGAACUGAGAAACGGUCCAGACUCCUACGGGAGGCAGCAGUGGG